This 461-nucleotide ribosomal RNA is filed under the name uncultured bacterium. RNAcentral's name for it is "bacterial SSU rRNA". It matches the Rfam family "Bacterial small subunit ribosomal RNA", at positions 329 to 803 of the family's 1533-position model. The record is from RNAcentral.
UGGCUAACUCCUACGGGAGGCAGCAGUGGGGAAUAUUGCACAAUGGGCGAAAGCCUGAUGCAGCAACGCCGCGUGCGGGAUGACGGCCUUCGGGUUGUAAACCGCUUUCAGCUCCGACGAAGCGCAAGUGACGGUAGGAGCAGAAGAAGGACCGGCCAACUACGUGCCAGCAGCCGCGGUGAUACGUAGGGUCCGAGCGUUGUCCGGAAUUAUUGGGCGUAAAGGGCUUGUAGGCGGUUUGUCACGUCGGAAGUGAAAACUCAGGGCUUAACCCUGAGCCUGCUUCCGAUACGGGCAAACUAGAGGGAUGCAGGGGAGAAUGGAAUUCCUGGUGGAGCGGUGGGAUGCGCAGAUAUCAGGAGGAACACCAGUGGCGAAGGCGGUUCUCUGGGCGUUUCCUGACGCUGAGAAGCGAAAGCGUGGGGAGCAAACAGGAUUAGAUACCCCGGUAGUCCAGCUGG